This 427-nucleotide ribosomal RNA is filed under the name uncultured bacterium. RNAcentral describes it as "bacterial SSU rRNA". It matches the Rfam family "Bacterial small subunit ribosomal RNA", at positions 355 to 774 of the family's 1533-position model. The record is from RNAcentral.
UGAGGAAUAUUGCACAAUGGGCGAAAGCCUGAUGCAGCGACGCCGCGUGGAGGAUGACGGCUUUCGGGUUGUAAACUCCUGUUAAGUGGGAUAAAAUCCUUACCUCUAAUACAGGUAAGGGGUGAUAGUACCAUUAGAGAAAGCACCGGCUAACUUCGUGCCAGCAGCCGCGGUAAUACGAGGGGUGCAAGCGUUAUUCGGAUUUAUUGGGCGUAAAGGGUGCGUAGGUGGUAUGUCAAGUCUGUUGUCAAAUCUUUCGGCCUAACCGAAAGCCUGCAAUGAAAACUGGCACACUUGAGGGUGGAAGAGGGAAGUGGAAUUCUCGGAGUAGCGGUAAAAUGCGUGGAUCUCGAGAGGAACACCGAUGGCGAAGGCAGCUUCCUGGUCCAUAUCUGACACUGAGGCACGAAAGCGUGGGGAGCAAACA